Long non-coding RNA from Octopus bimaculoides (California two-spot octopus), 1248 nucleotides. RefSeq lists it as uncharacterized. Lineage: Eukaryota; Metazoa; Mollusca; Cephalopoda; Octopoda; Octopodidae. The record is from RefSeq and is a predicted model, not a curated record.
UUGACCUGUGAAGUCUGCUCAUUAUGAACUUUUGGACGUACUUGUGUGGAGGGAGUAACAGACUUUUUUCAAGAUGUAUGUGAAUUUUACCUGUCGAAGUCUGUUUACUUAAGAACUUUGGACGUACUUGUUUGAGGUUUCUAAGAAUAUAUGAUGCUAGCUUUUCAAAAUAUUUAUUUGGCUGUACGGAACCCUAGAGACGCUUCUGUUAAUGAAACCUACACUAGGAUAAUCUUAAAUAAAUGCUUACUGCUAAGGAAAAAGGAAUAAAGGAAAACAAAAAAAUGAAUAAGCCAUGGAGAGAGUUGGUGCAGCAAUGUUAUGACUUUCUCAACAGUAGUUCAACAUCAAGUCAAUCAAAUCUUGAAAAAUAUCGUGACGCUUUCACGAGAGAGAAGAUAUAUAUAAAGCAAAUGUUCACGGUGACGUCUCAUCUUAUGCAAAUACGGUGUCUGGCAGGUAGCAAGGCCAUUUGAACGACCUCAACAAUAACGGUUUACUGCUGAAUGACUAACUGCUGAUACUGCAGCAUUCCCAAAUGCAUCACAACUAUCUUCAUUCAAAAACUUUUUCCAUUUACUAGAAAUCUGUUAAACAUUCAGUUUCUUUGUCUAUAUGUCCAAAGUGUAGAGGAUUUGGCCAGUAGUUACAAGCUUCCAGGUUCGAACUCGCUGAGGAGCAUACUUGGCAGGUAUCUCCUUUGAUAAAUUUGCGUCGACCAACAUUCUGGAAGUGGAAUUUAAGCACCUAAACUUCCAGAUGUUGCUACGGAAGAAGUGAAUUUUCUUAGCUAAACCUAAUAUCAAUUAUCCCAGGGAGAAGGGUAGCUGACGUUGUUAAAACAUUGAACAACUAUUUUCUAUGGAUUAAUGAACAAAUACUUACAAUAAUCCCUCGCCGUAUCGCGGUUCACCUAUCGCUGUUCCCUUAUCGCGAUUUAUUAUUUAAGCUUAUAGCGAUUCCUUUGUGGUGUUGUUUUGCAUUUAUAAUAAAGUAAAUAUUUACAAAUUAUAAAACUAAUUUUAAAAAAUAUGCAGUACAGUACUGUUUCUAGUUCGCGAAUUUUCACCUUAUGCGGUGGCUUUUGGAAUGUAAUAUCCGCGAUAGAUGAGGGAUUACUCCAUAUGAUCUAUCUUACUGAAAUUCUGUUGAAAGCAUAUAUGGAGAUCAGAAGUUCAUCACGGUUUCUGAUAACAUUGUGUAAAAAUCUUUAACGUUUGAAAAUAUACUUUUCUACUCUAGGCAGAA